This is a long non-coding RNA of Mytilus californianus (California mussel), 299 nucleotides long. RefSeq lists it as uncharacterized. The record is from RefSeq and is a predicted model, not a curated record. Lineage: Eukaryota; Metazoa; Mollusca; Bivalvia; Mytilida; Mytilidae. The transcript is spliced from 2 exons.
AUUGUAUUAAAAUAUAAUGAUUCUAAAAUUAAGCAUAUCGUAAUAAUUCACCAAAACCAAAAACUAGAUUUUUUCUUGUUUGAGUAGUUUCCAUGGAAACGGCUGCCAUUUUUUACCAUUCCAUAGCAAGGUGCACAACUUUACAUGGGGGUCCUCAUUAUAGUAGAGUUCCAUCAACAUUGGUCCAUUGGAUUCCAAGAACUCGCGCGGACAAAAUGUGUGGAAGAAAAAUAAGAAAAAAAAGAAACGUAGAAUAACAGUAUGUCACCCCAACUCCGUUGAGGGUGCCAUAACUAGAU